GAAAAUACAUCAAUAAUUCUCCUCUACAUUUUUUUUCCUUUCUUUUUCUUCUCUUUUUCUUUCCAUUAAUUUUGUUCCCCACUCCAUCAACUCCACUACCCUAUGCUCCCCACCAUCUCCACUACCUUUGCUCCCCAUCAACUCCAACACUUCACCCAUUCCUUCCAUUUCGCACCAGCAAUCACAAAGAGAAGGAAGACUUGGCUUAACUACUUUGCCAAGAUUUCAAGCUGCUCCAGUCCAGUAGUACCCCAACACUCGAAGCUAGAGUUUAUUGGGUGAAAAACCGUGCAUGAGGUCGAGCGCAAGAAUAAGAGCUCGUCAAGGAGUCACUAAUCUGUAGCAAAGCUUUGCUAUCAGGUUGAGCAGCUGCCGAUGGUGAUGAAGUGACGAGCGGGACUCUUUUGUCUUAUUAUGUAUUAAUGAACUCUAGGGUUACAUGUCUUCAUACAUGUAAUCAGAACCUUAUUCCGCUGCGUACUCAGAAGUUUUAUGUUAUUUUGGAUAAGUCGGAGUUAUCCGAACUUGUUAGUUAUUUGAGUCUAUACGACAAAAACUCUGUUAUAUUAUAGAUAUCUAUGUUGUUAACAAUGAUGAAA
Salvia miltiorrhiza (redroot sage) is the source of this 599-nucleotide long non-coding RNA. RefSeq lists it as uncharacterized. The transcript has 3 exons. NCBI's taxonomy places the organism in Eukaryota, Viridiplantae, Streptophyta, Magnoliopsida, Lamiales, Lamiaceae. The record is from RefSeq and is a predicted model, not a curated record.